ACGGAAUUUCCAUGCACCUUUCCAAGUCCAUGGAUGGGCCAAACAUUCUCAAUUACUAUUUUGGGACUUAAUAUUGGUAAUUGGAAGUUUAACACUGAUUGCCAAACAAGCGUUUUUACCACGAACCAGGGACUGUCUACAACAUCAGAAACAUUGCUUUGUCAUCAAAUAACAGAACGCUUCCUUAUUGUCCGGGUACAGGGUUCUGACAACUUCGUAUGUUUUCCGAUCUUUUCCAAUCUUGCAAAUCCUUUGAAGUUUACAUUUGGAUCACGAGCUUCCACAACGUUUGCAAACCAAACAGGAGAGUUUACAGAUAUAUGUGAAAUUUGUAAACAACCAGCUGCAACUGCGGUAG
Mytilus californianus (California mussel) is the source of this 358-nucleotide long non-coding RNA. RefSeq lists it as uncharacterized. The transcript has 3 exons. The record is from RefSeq and is a predicted model, not a curated record. Lineage: Eukaryota; Metazoa; Mollusca; Bivalvia; Mytilida; Mytilidae.